AGUGAACGCUGGCGGUAGGCCUAACACACGCAAGUCGAACGGCAGCACAGUAAGAGCUUGCUCUUACGGGUGGCGAGUGGCGGACGGGUGAGGAAUACAUCGGAAUCUACUUUUUCGUGGGGGAUAACGUAGGGAAACUUACGCUAAUACCGCAUACGACCUACGGGUGAAAGCAGGGGAUCUUCGGACCUUGCGCGAUUGAAUGAGCCGAUGUCGGAUUAGCUAGUUGGCGGGGUAAAGGCCCACCAAGGCGACGAUCCGUAGCUGGUCUGAGGGGAUGAUCAGCCACACUGGAACUGAGACACGGUCCAGACUCCUGCGGGAGGCAGCAGUGGGGAAUAUUGGGCAAUGGGCGCAAGCCUGAUCCAGCCAUACCGCGUGGGUGAAGAAGGCGUUCGGGUUGUAAAGCCCUUUUGUUGGGAAAGAAAAGCAGCAGGUUAAUACCCCGCUGUUCUGACGGUACCCAAAGAAUAAGCACCGGCUAACUUCGUG
This 492-nucleotide ribosomal RNA is filed under the name uncultured bacterium. RNAcentral describes it as "partial 16S ribosomal RNA". It matches the Rfam family "Bacterial small subunit ribosomal RNA", at positions 29 to 507 of the family's 1533-position model. The record is from RNAcentral.